Regulatory RNA element from Halococcus morrhuae DSM 1307, 61 nucleotides. It matches the Rfam family "S15-Halobacteria ribosomal protein leader". Lineage: Archaea; Methanobacteriati; Methanobacteriota; Halobacteria; Halobacteriales; Halococcaceae. The record is from Rfam.
GUGGGAACAGCACGGCCGCAAAUCCGACUCGUCCACGUGGACUCCGAGAUUGCGGUAGUGU